UACUGCCCUGCAAAGAGUCGCCGACUGUGGCGGCCUGUUCAGAACGAACUAGCAGGGUAGUUUUCA
RNAcentral lists this non-coding RNA (66 nucleotides) under unclassified sequences. RNAcentral describes it as "DUF3800-IX RNA". It matches the Rfam family "DUF3800-IX RNA". Rfam says of the family: Actinobacteria, Firmicutes (1 example), Nitrospirae, Proteobacteria, Verrucomicrobia (1 example). Nearby to DUF3800 The record is from Rfam by way of RNAcentral.